ACUUACUUUUUAUUGUCAGGUGAAGCUUAACAGAAGCAACUGGCUUAGAGGAUCCUGUCAGGAAUCUGACUUAGAUGAUUUCCUUCAAACCAAAAUUUUGAACCAAAUGUCCAAGCCAAGGUGACUGGAAUGACUGGGGCUGAGAACCACUGAGGUGUCCUGCUGCCUCUUUUACCUCCUUUUCUGACAUUAUCACUGCUGCCCUUGUGGAU
Molecule: long non-coding RNA, 212 nt
Organism: Talpa occidentalis (Iberian mole)
Lineage: Eukaryota; Metazoa; Chordata; Mammalia; Eulipotyphla; Talpidae
Exons: 3
Source: RefSeq, a predicted model, not a curated record